UAUUUUUUUAAAAAGCCUGACUUUUUUUAUACCGCGUGAGGGAUGACGGCCUAUGGGUUGUAAACCUCUUUUUUCAGGGAGGAAAAAAUGACGUGUACCUGAAGAAUAAGCAUCGGCUAACUCCGUGCCAGCAGCCGCGGUAAGACGGAGGAUGCAAGUGUUAUCCGGAAUCACUGGGCGUAAAGCGUCUGUAGGUGGUUUAAUAAGUCAACUGUUAAAUCUUGAGGCUCAACUUCAAAAUCGCAGUCGAAACUAUUAGACUAGCGUAUAGUAGGGGUAAAGGGAAUUUCCAGUGGAGCGGUGAAAUGCGUAGAGAUUGGAAAGAACGCCAAUGGCGAAAGCACUCUACUGGGCUAUCCCUGCCCCUUUACACGAAAGCUA
This 381-nucleotide ribosomal RNA is filed under the name uncultured organism. RNAcentral describes it as "partial 16S ribosomal RNA". It matches the Rfam family "Bacterial small subunit ribosomal RNA", at positions 359 to 762 of the family's 1533-position model. The record is from RNAcentral.